GCAGCAGCCAGGCCUGGCCGUGCCCAGGGGCAUCACCCUGCUGAGCCUGGCUCCGAGCUGGCUCCUGGCUUCUGGCAUCCACACAGAUCUGGAGGUUUUGGUUUCCCCGGGUUUUUGCUUGGGAGGGAUCAAAGUGGUGCUGGCCAGCCAUAAAUGUCACCUUGCCCUGCCUGCCUGGGGUGGGGCUCUCCCUGCCCUGGAGGAUGAGCUGUGCCAUGUCUCAGGGCUGCAGGACACUGCUGUCACCUGCUCCAGUCCCUCCUGUGACUGGGAACUGAGCAGGAGUGUCCUUCUGUGAGCAGAGACACUGGGGACUGUCCCCAGCAGGACAGGCUGCCAGCUGAGCCAGGAGGAGUGACCACGGAGCCACAGAACCAUGGAACCCCAGAACCAUGGAACCAUGGAACACCAGAACCAUGGAACCCCAGAACCAUGGAACCCCAGAACCAUGGAACCAUGGAACCCCAGAACCAUGGAACCAUGGAACCACAGAACCAGGGGGUUACAGAACGGGUUGGGUGGGUAGGAACCUCACAGAUCACCUCGUUCCAACCUCCUGCCACGGCCACCCUCUAGAUCAGGUUGUGCAGGUGAUGUUCUGGGACUAGAAGUGACCCGUGUGGGUGCUCCUGUGCUCCCCUCCUGGCCCUUCCUGCAGGGCUGGGAACAAUUGGUGUGUUUACCCAGUGCUGAUGGAUGUGGUUCCUGGUGCUGGCACUGGCCAAGUUCCUUCUGCCCUCCCAGCAGGAAUGUGGGAAGGGAAAAUCAACAAUCAAUCCACAGCUCCAGUUCUCAGCUCCAUCCCUCCAGCCGAGUGCUGCAGGGAGCUGCUGAAAACCUCAGCAAACCCCGGCAUGGGCAGAGAGCUGAGGGUUUUUUCCCAAUGUAAACUGAGGCAAGGAGGGCAAGGCACUGCUGUGUCCCCCGCUCCUGGAGCAGCUUCUCUGCAGGUAAAAAUAAAAGAGCAAAGCUGCAAAAUGCCAGCUGUUCUCUGGGCUGCAGUGAUGUCCCCAGGAGCUGGACCCCACUGCCCCUCGGUGCCCCCCAGCAUCCCCCAGUGCCUUGCCCUGCUGGGGGGAGCCGAGUUGACCUGCUGGACCUGCUCUGGGCUGGUCCCCUGGUCCACACUCAGCACUGGCCCCUCUGGGAAAUCUGCUCCAGCUUGGGGAGGAAAUUCCAGGAGUAACCUCGCCGAGGCAGCGCCGUGGAGCAGAAGUGACACGUUGUGGCAGCUGACAUCUCCGGGAAGGGUUUAGCAAGGAGACAAACCCAG
Passer domesticus (house sparrow) is the source of this 1273-nucleotide long non-coding RNA. RefSeq lists it as uncharacterized. Lineage: Eukaryota; Metazoa; Chordata; Aves; Passeriformes; Passeridae. The transcript is spliced from 3 exons. The record is from RefSeq and is a predicted model, not a curated record.